RNAcentral lists this ribosomal RNA (402 nucleotides) under uncultured bacterium. RNAcentral's name for it is "bacterial SSU rRNA". It matches the Rfam family "Bacterial small subunit ribosomal RNA", at positions 355 to 774 of the family's 1533-position model. The record is from RNAcentral.
UCGGGAAUUUUGGGCAAUGGGCGAAAGCCUGACCCAGCAACGCCGCGUGAGGGAUGAAGUAUUUCGGUAUGUAAACCUCGAAAGAAUGGGAAGAAUAAAUGACGGUACCAUUUAUAAGCUCCGGCUAACUACGUGCCAGCAGCCGCGGUAAUACGUAGGGAGCAAGCGUUGUUCGGAUUUACUGGGCGUAAAGGGCGCGUAGGCGGCGCGGUAAGUCACUUGUGAAAUCUCUGAGCUUAACUCAGAACGGCCAAGUGAUACUGCUGUUCUAGAGUGCGGAAGAGGCAACCGGAAUUCUUGGUGUAGCGGUGAAAUGGGUAGAUAUCAAGAGGAACACCUGAGGCGAAGGCGGGUUGCUGGGCCGACACUGACGCUGAUGCGCGAAAGCCAGGGGAGCAAACG